GUGUGGGUAUGUUGGAUCCCUGCUUGGGCAGCGACAACGUACUCUUCGCGCCUGUUCAUUAGAUGGCUGAAUCUCGUGUUCUGUCAUCUCACUCUCGGUUCCCUGUGUUGCAUACCUAUUGCGAUGGUAUCGUGUUGCCUAAAAUGACCCUAUUUCGCCUAACGUUGCGACUAAUAUUUGCGAUCGAAGGUGAACCAAAAAGCGUUCGUCGUGUUCCACCCCGUUCACAAAACUCGUUGCGGGACUUGGGCCAUGACGAUAUGCUCGAAUUCUCGGAUGCGGAAUACUAAGCGGGUACGAGGACGUUCGUUCUCUGUUUACCCCUAAACAAGCGUUCUACGCUCUGUGCGAAUGACGUUCUUCCUCGUCUUGGACUUUGGUCCAAACGAUGUCGACGUCGAAGAGGAAUGCUACCUGGUUGAUCCUGCCAGUAGUCAUAU
This 440-nucleotide unclassified non-coding RNA is filed under the name Osmanthus sp. DH-2011. Its description in RNAcentral is "partial external transcribed spacer". Lineage: Eukaryota; Viridiplantae; Streptophyta; Magnoliopsida; Lamiales; Oleaceae. The record is from RNAcentral.